GUGCCUGUAGCUCAACGGAUAGAGCGCUCGCCUACGAAGCGAGAGACUGGAGGUUCGAAUCCUCCCGGGCGCACCA
RNAcentral lists this transfer RNA (76 nucleotides) under Nocardia stercoris. RNAcentral's name for it is "Nocardia sp. NEAU-LL90 tRNA-Arg". It matches the Rfam family "tRNA". Rfam says of the family: Transfer RNA (tRNA) molecules are approximately 80 nucleotides in length. Their secondary structure includes four short double-helical elements and three loops (D, anti-codon, and T loops). Further hydrogen bonds mediate the characteristic L-shaped molecular structure. tRNAs have two regions of fundamental functional importance: the anti-codon, which is responsible for specific mRNA codon recognition, and the 3' end, to which the tRNAs corresponding amino acid is attached (by aminoacyl-tRNA synthetases). tRNAs cope with the degeneracy of the genetic code in two manners: having more than one tRNA (with a specific anti-codon) for a particular amino acid; and 'wobble' base-pairing, i.e. permitting non-standard base-pairing at the 3rd anti-codon position. Lineage: Bacteria; Bacillati; Actinomycetota; Actinomycetes; Mycobacteriales; Nocardiaceae. The record is from RNAcentral.